Molecule: non-coding RNA, 30 nt
Filed under: Mus musculus (house mouse)
Lineage: Eukaryota; Metazoa; Chordata; Mammalia; Rodentia; Muridae
Source: RNAcentral
GCUCAGGAGAGUGCUGCCUACUGUGGUCCC